AUAAAAUAAAUGGAGUUCUCAAUUUCAAAGUGAACUACCGCUGUGCCGCACACCCAUAUUCUAGAAUCUGAACUUUCAAAGUGAAACCCUAGAGAACUACUCCUUCUCCGCUCCGGCCUCCCCUCCGUCGCCACGCCAGAAGACCGGCGCCAUUUCGCCAGGUCCACGCAACAGCAAUAGCCCAGCCCACGACCUGCGUCCUCCCGUCAUUUGCCAGCAGACCGCCGUCUUACAGCAGCAGCAAGCAGCACCCUAUCGGCGAGUCGGCGACGAUGACUGCUCCCCGGCCUCUCCUCCGCAACA
Molecule: long non-coding RNA, 303 nt
Filed under: Salvia miltiorrhiza (redroot sage)
Lineage: Eukaryota; Viridiplantae; Streptophyta; Magnoliopsida; Lamiales; Lamiaceae
Description: long non-coding RNA (SMIL_LNC009756)
Source: RNAcentral